CCUACGGGUGGCAGCAGUGAGGAAUAUUGGUCAAUGGGCGCGAGCCUGAACCAGCCAAGUAGCGUGAGGGAAGACUGCCCUAUGGGUUGUAAACCUCUUUUAUACGGGAAUAAUAUGCCUUACGUGUACGCUUUUGCCUGUACCUUAUGAAUAAGCAUCGGCUAACUCCGUGCCAACAGCCGCGGUAAUACGGAGGAUCCGAGCGUUAUCCGGAUUUAUUGGGUUUAAAGGGUGCGUAGGGGGCGUGUUAAGUAAGUGGUAAAAUUUGGGGGCUAAACCGAGAAUUGCCAUUGAAACUGGCGGGCUAGAGUACAGUCGAGGUAGGCGGAAUGCGUGGGGUAGCGGUGAAAUGCUUAGAUAUGACGUAGAACUCCGAUCGCGAAGGCAGCUUAC
RNAcentral lists this ribosomal RNA (393 nucleotides) under uncultured bacterium. RNAcentral describes it as "partial 16S ribosomal RNA". It matches the Rfam family "Bacterial small subunit ribosomal RNA", at positions 338 to 729 of the family's 1533-position model. The record is from RNAcentral.